This 271-nucleotide ribosomal RNA is filed under the name uncultured bacterium. Its description in RNAcentral is "partial 16S ribosomal RNA". It matches the Rfam family "Bacterial small subunit ribosomal RNA", at positions 524 to 794 of the family's 1533-position model. The record is from RNAcentral.
UACGAAGGGGGCUAGCGUUGUUCGGAUUUACUGGGCGUAAAGCGCACGUAGGCGGAUCGUUAAGUCGGGGGUGAAAUCCUGGAGCUCAACUCCAGAACUGCCUUCGAUACUGGCGAUCUUGAGUCCGGAAGAGGUGAGUGGAACUCCUAGUGUAGAGGUGGAAUGCGUAGAUAUCCGAAAGAACACCAGUGGCGAAGGCGGCCUGCUGGGCAUUAGCUGACACUGAGGCGCGACAGCGUGGGGAGCAAACAGGAUUAGAUACCCUUGUAGU